Hemibagrus wyckioides is the source of this 1537-nucleotide long non-coding RNA. RefSeq lists it as uncharacterized. Lineage: Eukaryota; Metazoa; Chordata; Actinopteri; Siluriformes; Bagridae. The transcript has 3 exons. The record is from RefSeq and is a predicted model, not a curated record.
AGUAAGCCAGCUGGAACCAUGUGAUUGAGGACAAGUAAAACAGCUGCUGGCCCAUUUUUCCAAUAUAUUUACAGUAGCACAAUGUCACAUCCACAGAUGGUCUCAUCUCUCUUCAGUCAUUCUGCAGGUAUCAAGCUGGAACCAUGUCCUUCAUUCAAGACAGGUGAAGCCACCACAUCAAACUGCUGCUUAUGGAGCAUCACAGGCCAGCUGAACAUGCGUGGAAGAGAGCUCUAAAUGCCCUCUUCAGCAGAUAUGAGCCUGCAGACAUCUGUGAUUAUUCUUCUGGUUGGGACUGGAGAAAGAACAGACUACUUCAGAUGUAUGCAUCAUCCUGCAGGCUUUACCCCUACGUGCAACAGAAUGGAUUGACCAUCUUGCGUGUUUGAUAAAUUGCAACUGUGAAUCCCAGCACUCUUUCCACACACACUCCCGGGAGCUUUGGCAUGACUGUGUGCUAUAGCAGCAAGCCGCCUCCUCUCAUCCAUCCAUAUUACAGCAAGAUGCACUUAAAGCCGUGGGACCUGCUGUCUUGGACUGGACUAAAUCAACAUAUUAUGUGUGCAUCAGGAGAGCCAGGGAAGGAAUAGUUAUGAGACAUGCAUUCUUUAUAGAGGAACCUUCAUAUGUACAAAAUGAUUUGAUUGCAUGAACAUGACCCAAUGUAAAGUUAUUAGGACACAUGGACAUGUAUGUAUUAAAUGUAUUAGAGUUGUAUUAAGUAAGUUGUCUAUACAGGUUCACUGCUUUGACUAUAAUGUGUAAUCUUUCUAUAUUUAUGGGUGUAGAUGUCUCACAGCACUAAUAAAAACUGUUAGCGGUGCUUCUGAGCAUGUAAAAAAAAAGUGGUGAAGCAAGCAAAAAUGCUAACUCACUAUGGUUUAACUAGAACACUUUAGACAAAAGGCGGCAUUUUAAAUACAUCUCUGUGCUUUCUCUUUGCUACUGGAUCAUCAUUAUGCAUAAACAGCAUUAUACUGCACCAGGGGUGGCACUAGAUCAUUAUUUUCUACAAAGUAGGCUAAAUGUUCAGUUGGAAGCACUUUUAAUAAAAACAGACGGUGAACAAAAUAAUAUGCAAAUACAUGGUUGGAAAAUAUAUCAACAGGGAAAAUUAAUACUUUUUAAAAAUGUAUUGAAAUCAGCUGCUGAAAUUGUUUUUAAUAUUAAAAUAGAACUACCUGACAUAUAGAUGUCUUUGCAAUGAGAGCAGCUCUAAUUUUUGUUGUUGUUUUUUUUUUUUCAUAUAAAGCUGUAUACUGUACCAAGGGUGUUGCUAACCCCUUAAAUAAAAUUCUCCUGCUAGAUCAUUGUCUGUUGAGGUAGAUUACACUAGAUACGUCUGAAAACCAGCUUUCCUAUUCAUUGAGCAUUAUCAUUUACAGCAUUUGAAUUAUUUUAAAAUGAUUAAUGAGGCUGAUUGUAAAGCCAGCUGAAGCACAAAUAUCCCGUGUAGCCUCUUCAAUCAUAUCCCCAUCCCACCCUGCUAUGCUCCUCCUCCCUCCACUUUUCACUGCAGAAACAUUAACGAAAAUUC